RNAcentral lists this ribosomal RNA (507 nucleotides) under uncultured bacterium. Its description in RNAcentral is "partial 16S ribosomal RNA". The record is from RNAcentral.
GGAGUUAGCCGGUGCUUCUUCUGUGAGUGAUGUCCUUCCUGCCGGCUAUUAACCCGCAGGCCUUCUUCCUCACUGAAAGUGCUUUACAACCCGAAGGCCUUCUUCACACACGCGGCAUGGCUGGAUCAGGGUUGCCCCCAUUGUCCAAUAUUCCCCACUGCUGCCUCCCGUAGGAGUCUGGGCCGUGUCUCAGUCCCAGUGUGGCUGAUCAUCCUCUCAGACCAGCUACGGAUCGUCGCCUUGGUGAGCCGUUACCUCACCAACCAGCUAAUCCGACAUAGGCUCAUCCGAUAGCGCGAGGCCCGAAGGUCCCCCGCUUUCCCCCGUAGGGAGUAUGCGGUAUUAGCCUGGGUUUCCCCAGGUUAUCCCCCACUACCGGGCAGAUUCCUAUGCAUUACUCACCCGUCCGCCGCUCGCCACCAGGGAGCAAGCUCCCCGUGCUGCCGCUCGACUUGCAUGUGUUAGGCCUGCCGCCAGCGUUCAAUCUGAGCCAGAAUCAAACUCUGA